GCCAGAAAAGGGAACUGUUGCCGCCGUCACAUGCCUCGCCAUUGCCGUCGAUUUCGUCGGGAGAAGAUGCGUGGAGAGAAAAGCCGUGGGUCAAGCCAGAGAUCGCCGAGGGGGAGAGAGCUGCCAUCGCGUCUGCUGCAGGCUUUCCAUCAUCGCCAUCAUGGAGCCGCGAGGAGGCCGUCACCGGUGCGAGCUCGCGGAGGGAGAGAGGGGUACAAAAAUGUUCAAUUUUCAUGUCUUAGUUUUUUUUUUGUUCUUGUUUUA
Molecule: non-coding RNA, 264 nt
Organism: Arachis ipaensis
Lineage: Eukaryota; Viridiplantae; Streptophyta; Magnoliopsida; Fabales; Fabaceae
Source: RefSeq, a predicted model, not a curated record